RNAcentral lists this small RNA (129 nucleotides) under Klebsiella pneumoniae. RNAcentral describes it as "RtT sRNA". It matches the Rfam family "RtT RNA". Rfam says of the family: This family represents a bacterial cis-regulatory element known as RtT RNA. The exact function of RtT is unknown although it is thought that it may be involved in changing the cellular response in relation to amino acid starvation. Lineage: Bacteria; Pseudomonadati; Pseudomonadota; Gammaproteobacteria; Enterobacterales; Enterobacteriaceae. The record is from RNAcentral.
UCUGCCCCACGGGGAAGGAUGAGAAGCUUCGACUAAGGUUCGACUCGAGCGAAGCGAGAGAACGUUGCCGCAGGCAACGGCCCGAAGGGCGAGGCGCUUUAGCGCCGAGUAAUCCUUCCCCCACCACCA